GGUCGCAAGAUUAAAACUCAAAUGAAUUGACGGGGGCCNGCACAAGCGGUGGAGCAUGUGGUUUAAUUNGACGCAACGCGAAGANCCUUACCUACUUUUUGACAUCCAGAGAACUCGCUAGAGAUAGCUUGGUGCCUUCGGGAGCUCUGAGACAGGUGCUGCAUGGCUGUCGUCAGCUCGUGUUGUGAAAUGUUGGGUUAAGUCCCGUAACGAGCGCAACCCUUGUCCUUAUUUGCCAGCACGUAAUGGUGGGAACUCUAAGGAGACUGCCGGUGACAAGCCGGAGGAAGGUGGGGACGACGUCAAGUCAUCAUGGCCCUUACGAGUAGGGCUACACACGUGCUACAAUGGCCGGUACAGAGGGCUGCAACCCCGCGAGGGUGAGCUAAUCUCAGAAAACCGGUCGUAGUCCGGAUCGCAGUCUGCAACUCGACUGCGUGAAGUCGGAAUCGCUAGUAAUCGCGAAUCAGCAUGUCGCGGUGAAUACGUUCCCGGGCCUUGUACACACCGCCCGCCACACCAUGGGAGUGGGUUGCACCAGAAGUAGCUAGUCUAACCUUCGGGAGGACGGUUACCACGGUGUGGUCCAUGACUGGGGUG
RNAcentral lists this ribosomal RNA (600 nucleotides) under uncultured bacterium. Its description in RNAcentral is "bacterial SSU rRNA". It matches the Rfam family "Bacterial small subunit ribosomal RNA", at positions 884 to 1482 of the family's 1533-position model. The record is from RNAcentral.